UGGGGAAUAUUGCACAAUGGGCGCAAGCCUGAUGCAGCAACGCCGCGUGCGGGAUGACGGCCUUCGGGUUGUAAACCGCUUUCAGCAGGGACGAAGCGAAAGUGACGGUACCUGCAGAAGAAGCACCGGCUAACUACGUGCCAGCAGCCGCGGUGAUACGUAGGGUGCGAGCGUUGUCCGGAUUUAUUGGGCGUAAAGAGCUCGUAGGCGGUUUGUCGCGUCGGAAGUGAAAACUCAGGGCUUAACCCUGAGCCUGCUUUCGAUACGGGCAGACUUGAGGAAGGUAGGGGAGAAUGGAAUUCCUGGUGGAGCGGUGGAAUGCGCAGAUAUCAGGAGGAACACCAGUGGCGAAGGCGGUUCUCUGGACCUUUCCUGACGCUGAGGAGCGAAAGCGUGGGGAGCAAACAGGCUUAGAUACCCUGGUAGUCCACGCCGUAAACGGUGGGCACUAGGUGUGGGACCCUUCCACGGGUUCCGUGCCGUAGCUAACGCAUUAAGUGCCCCGCCUGGGGAGUACGGCCGCAAGGCUAAAACUCAAAGGAAUUGACGGGGGCCCGCACAAGCGGCGGAGCAUGCGGAUUAAUUCGAUGCAACGCGAAGAACCUUACCUGGGUUUGACAUAUACCGGAAACACCUAGAGAUAGGUGCCCCGUAAGGUCGGUAUACAGGUGGUGCAUGGCUGUCGUCAGCUCGUGUCGUGAGAUGUUGGGUUAAGUCCCGCAACGAGCGCAACCCUCGUUCUAUGUUGCCAGCGGUUCGGCCGGGAGACUGCCGGGGUCAACUCGGAGGAAGGUGGGGAUGACGUCAAGUCAUCAUGCCCCUUAUGUCCAGGGCUUCACGCAUGCUACAAUGGCUGGUACAAAGGGCUGCAAUACCGCAAGGUGGAGCGAAUCCCAUAAAGCCAGUCUCAGUUCGGAUUGGGGUCUGCAACUCGACCCCAUGAAGUCGGAGUCGCUAGUAAUCGCAGAUCAGCAACGCUGCGGUGAAUACGUUCCCGGGCCU
Molecule: ribosomal RNA, 1002 nt
Filed under: termite gut metagenome
Description: bacterial SSU rRNA
Rfam family: Bacterial small subunit ribosomal RNA
Source: RNAcentral